Molecule: non-coding RNA, 20 nt
Filed under: Rattus norvegicus (Norway rat)
Lineage: Eukaryota; Metazoa; Chordata; Mammalia; Rodentia; Muridae
Source: RNAcentral
UCUUUUAGGUCCACAAUAAU